Molecule: long non-coding RNA, 2619 nt
Organism: Gallus gallus (chicken)
Lineage: Eukaryota; Metazoa; Chordata; Aves; Galliformes; Phasianidae
Exons: 4
Source: RefSeq, a predicted model, not a curated record
CCCUUCCCUUGGGUUUCCUUUCUCUCUGCAGACAUGGGCUGGAAUGACAAGGAGGGGAUGUGCCACUGCCCCACAGCCUCACUGCCACAGCUCAUGGAUCCUCAACAAGAAGAGUUUAAAAAGCACUGGAGGCCUCCUCCCCAGCCCUGAAGGUGCGCGGUGCCAGCAAGCAGAUGUGGCCACAGCCAUGGGGUUUGCACCAUCUGGGGCUCAGCAGAGAAGAUCCUUGUGAUGUUGAAGCUGCUCUAUGGACGUGAAAAGAUCUGUCUUCAUCACAGAAGAAAAGCCUUAGAUACAGAGCCAGAGAGGUAGGAUGCAUCCCCAUCCUUCUGAGCUUGAGGAACAAGGAGAGAUUACAACUCUGGCAGCACUGCUGUGAUUGCACACAGGCAGUGUCAGACAACACUCAGCUUUCCCGCUGCUGGGCCAAAGUCAAGAGAGCUUCAGAGGUCCUGGAGACACCGCUCAGCACACGAUGAGGCCAUGGCUUUAGGCAAAGUGUCUGCCCAAGUUGCAAAGGCUAAAGCACUGCUGGCCAGAAAUUACUUUUAACAAGACCUUUGUGAAUUGGGACUGCUUCACAGGAAAACAACAUUUAACUUCAUAAAAAAGGAGGCAGCCAAUAGGCUGGGAAAUAAACCUCCUAUUUCUUUUAGUGCCCACGAUCUCACACACAGGCACACCUUGCUGUACUGGCAGCGCAGUGGGAAGGAGGGAAGCUCCAUUCCAGCCCACAGCGGCCACCCAGACAGACAGCAGCCCCUUCCCACGCCUUUGUACGACGCAGGAAAUCCCCAUUCCCUUUUCAUAUAUUUUCAGGUCAUUUGAGGAAAAAAUUAUGAGUCACCUACAGCAGCCACAGCCACUUCUUAAUGUUUUCUGCUCCUCGAUACCUUCAUAACUCAGCUCGAGUUUCUCUUCUCCCCUCUCCUCCCUUGAAGAUUUAUCACGGAUGAGGAUUUUCUCGGUUUAUCCCAUUUUCAAGCACCACACUGCCCUUUAUGCAAGCAAAACGAAUUUAAGCUGUAGUGACUCUUCUUGUCCUUACCCAUUCACUGCAGCUUUUCCAAACCUAUCUACUCAGGUUGCCUCUGAUGUGGAUGUGAAGUAAGUAGAUGUAGCUGCCUUCAAUCUCUCAGAGCCCCAUAAACAAAAGCAGUGGACUUCAGAGCUUUUCCUUCUAAGAAAUUAAACUACCUGGAGAAUUUGCUUUUUCCUUCCAUGGUGACCUCCCCUGGCAGACCAGAUGCCACCCUGAGAAACUGCGAGGCACCUCUCUUCUUCCUUCCUUCCCCUCCAGAUAUCCUGCCAAACAGCAACAAGAACAGAAUUUCACAAGCACACAACAUGCGACAGAAAUGGGGAGGGGACUGCUGGCUCCUGCACACAGCUUCCCUGUCCAGAAGAGAAGCUAGCAGGACUCCCACCCAAUGGGGCUUUAAGGGCCUGGAGGGAUGCUGCCCAAAGCCCCAGAUGAGACAUCACCCAGAAGGGCAAAAGAGGUUACCAGAUCUUUCCUUUUGGCCUGGCUUGCUCAAGUAGCAAGCAAACCCAAAGGGCCUUUCUAGCCCCAGAAACCACAUAGAAGUUGUGCAGGUCAGAAGGCAGUUCUCUCCCAUUGCUACAGAUUCAAAGACCUGUUUCUGCCCUACCACAUGUUGCAAACUAAAGCUUAGAAACAGAGGAAACAAAAAUCAGUUCUUAUUUUCUCCUUGUUUUUGAGAAGACAGGGGAGACCCACUGACUUCAUGUUUCAAUAAAGUAAAUGCAUAUAGAAAACCAGUUACCUGUAAUCUUUUUUCAGGCAUGGAAGUAAACAGACAACACCUUUAGUUUUGAUGCUUUGUGUGUGACUUGGUGAUAAUCCAUCCGUAUAUCCGAAUAUGCACCACUAACUGAAGUUUCACCUUAUAUACCCAGAAACACAUCCCAAGGGAGCACAGAUCAAUACAAACAAGGUGUGUCAGAAAGCGGUAUAAAAUAAGAUUUAUUUGCAAAUCACCUUGACAAAAAGGAAACAAGUAUAUGAGAUGUGCAUGGUGGAGAUUACACACCUGUUCUUUCGUCUUCUGAGAUUUCCAUUUAUAUGAACCAUGGAAUUCUUCCAGAAUUCAAAAGGAGCUUUGAAGGUAUUCUUUUUUUGUCUUGUCCUGCUGUUCCCUCCAUUGGCACACUUACAGGAGACUCAAACGCUUUGCAACAAGAAGUAGCACACGUAAACCAAGGUUGUUCUGUUGUGUUUUAAGGAAAACUUGGACAAUAGCCUUUUCACAUUUGGUCAGGAUGGCGUUAAGCACUUCAAGAUUCCCUCCAGGAGCAGCGCUCGGUGCUGUGGUAACACAGAGAGCCCUACAGUCAAACACAUCCCACCCUGAAGGAUCACAUCUUGACUGAAACUUCACAUUCUUUCUCAUGUAAGACACAGCACAUCUGGUUAUGAUACGAGUUCUCUCUCUUGGAAGCUAAGGAGCUGUCUCGCAUGUAAAAAUGAUAGAAGUUUGGUAUUUAAUAAGAACUGCAGUGUAUAAAUGAACCUGGGAUAAAGGCAAUGCAAACAGUGAGCUUAUGUGAUUGUGGAAGGGCAACCUCUAAAUUACAGCUGCUCGUAACAGUUACAAA